GACGGAGGGGGCAAGCGUUGUCCGGACUCACUGGGCGUAAAGGGUGCGUAGGCGGUCUUUAAGUCAGGGGUGAAAUCCUGGAGCUCAACUCCAGAACUGCCUUUGAUACUGAGGAUCUUGAGUUCGGGAGAGGUGAGUGGAACUGCGAGUGUAGAGGUGAAAUUCGUAGAUAUUCGCAAGAACACCAGUGGCGAAGGCGGCUCACUGGCCCGAUACUGACGCUGAGGCACGAAAGCGUGGGGAGCAAACAGG
RNAcentral lists this ribosomal RNA (252 nucleotides) under uncultured bacterium. RNAcentral describes it as "partial 16S ribosomal RNA". It matches the Rfam family "Bacterial small subunit ribosomal RNA", at positions 524 to 776 of the family's 1533-position model. The record is from RNAcentral.